RNAcentral lists this long non-coding RNA (1289 nucleotides) under Olea europaea subsp. europaea. Lineage: Eukaryota; Viridiplantae; Streptophyta; Magnoliopsida; Lamiales; Oleaceae. The record is from RNAcentral.
CUAAUUAGUUUAUUUUUCUCUCCAUCUCCCUUUCUCUCUCUUUCUUCACAGCCACUACCGACAAGGCUCUAGAUCUUCUCUCCCUCUUCUUGAUGUCGGAACCACACUCAUUGACGGCAGCAAGGUGAAGUGGAGCGAGGCGGCGCUGCUGGCAGCUCAACGCGGAGCAAGCGCGAUCUGAUCUGCCGAUUCAUUCGCGAGCUCCAUUUUUUUUGGGAUUUUUUUGUUUUUGUUUUUGAUUUCAUCUAUUGUGCUGUGGUGCGGUGGUGGUGGCUGUAGUGGUGGUGGUGUUUGUGGUGCUUUGAGGCGCUGGUAACAGGGACGCUGAUGGGAUUUUUCGGUGGUGCGAGCGCGAUCUAAUUCGUGGGCUCUUUUGUUGGGAUUUUUUGUUUUUGUUUUUGAUUCCAUCUAUUUUGCAGUGGUACGGUGGUGGUGGUGCUUUGAGGCAGUGGUGACUGUGGCGACGAUGGCAAGGCACAGUAGAGUGAGGUGGCGCUGCUGGGAUUUUUUGGUGGUGCGAUCACGAUCUGAUUCGUGAGCUCGAUUUUUUGGGACUUUUUGUUUUUGUUUUUGAUUCCAUCUAUUAUGUUGUGGUGCAGUGGUGGUGGCUGUAGAGUGGUGGUGUAUGCGGUGCUGUGUUGGGUAUGUUGGGAUUUUUCAGUGGUGGAGGCAGCGAUGCUGGGAGUUUUUGGUAGUGGUGCGUGCAAACUUGGUCGACAGAUGAAGCUGGGUUGUGUAUGCUGCAGUUGGAGAAGAAAAGUCAGUGACGAACUGAGGUGAGACGUCAAAAGGACUGUUGGAGCGUGGUGAUCCUUGACAAUCGGUAUGUUGGUGGCGAUAGUCGUAGCGGUGGUUGUGGGUGGGAUGAAAUGGGAUUGGAUUCCCGUGACCAAUUAUUUUGUUGAUUGUGACUCAUCAUUGAAUAUGUGACCUAAAAAUUGUGAUUGUGAUUCACAAUUUAUUAAGUUGUGACCGAAAAAUCAAUCGUGACCAAUUAAUUUAAUAACCUGCAAUGAGUAAAUGAGUUGUGACAAAUAAAAGUUUUGAUUUUGUGAUCGAUGAAAAAUUUGUGACCUAUAAAAUUUUUCGAUUCGUGAUCGAAAAAUAUUCUGUGACCUAUAAUUUUUUGAAUUUGUGAUCAUGAUAUGAUCUGUGACUUACAAAAUUUUGAUUUGUGACCUCGAACAAAUCUGUGGCCUAUAAAAUUUUUGAAUUCGUGACCCAAAAAUAUUCUGUGACCUAUAAAUUUUUUGAUUUGUGACCUCGAACAAAUCUAUGACCUAUAAAAU